Molecule: long non-coding RNA, 2983 nt
Filed under: Capra hircus (goat)
Lineage: Eukaryota; Metazoa; Chordata; Mammalia; Artiodactyla; Bovidae
Description: lncRNA (ENSCHIG00010010916.1)
Rfam family: tRNA (bases 166-237)
Source: RNAcentral
AUAAGGUAAAGUGCAGUAGGUGGAAUCUCUAAGACAUUUUUUAAGAGAGGGCAGUUUCAGGUGGUAUACCCUUUUCUGCUCUUUUUCUGCCUCUUCUCUUCUUUUUCCCCUAACUCAUUUUGCCUGGAAUACUAAUUAGAGGGUAUUUUGCAACCAUAAGGGGCUUCCCUAGUGGCUCAAAUGGUAAAGAAUCUGCCUACAAUUCAGGAGACCCAGGUUCAAUCCCUGGGCAGGGAAGAUCCACUGGAGAAGGAAAUGGCAACCAAAUUCAGUAUUCUUGCCUGGAGAAUUCCAUGGACAAAGGAUACUGACAGGCUACAGUCCAUGGGGUUGCAAAGAGUCGGUUGUGACUGAGAGAGUAACACUUUCAUUUUCACUUGCAAUCAUAAAGAAACAANNNNNNNNNNNNNNNNNNNNNNNNNNNNNNNNNNNNNNNNNNNNNNNNNNNNNNNNNNNNNNNNNNNNNNNNNNNNNNNNNNNNNNNNNNNNNNNNNNNGACAGAGGAGCCUGGCAGGCUACAGUCCAUGGGAUCACAAAGAGUCGGAUGCGAGUGAGUGACUAACACUUCCACUUUCACACUUGCGCUAGUUGCUCUCAGGAUUGCGCCCCAAAUCCUUCAUGCAGCUUCUUCACAGGCUCCUCAUCAUCCACAGACUGGGUAUCACACUAGCCUCAAGGUUGAUCAUCCUCUUCCCCACACUCUUCCCAACUGCACUGAACACUUGGAACUCCCAGCCUAUGCAGUCAUUUCUCUCCAGGCUUCUGUUGCCUUGGCCCCAGCAUCCCUCCCCUCCCCAGCUUUCAUCUCACAUAGAACAAGCGUAGAUCUCACUUGCGCAGAAACUUUUUGGGGAGUUGAACACCCUUCAUCUGAGCUCGCACAGCCCUCUGUGCUCAGGCCAGCACAGGGCUCAAGGGUGUCUGUUUACUCUCAUUGCCUGCCCCUCCAGCUCAUCGAUAAGCUCUUGGAGGGAUGAGCCUGUUUCUUGGGCACUGCUCUGUCCCCAGCACCUACUGCAGUGCCUGGCACAUGUAAUGUGCUGCAAUCAAGACCGGAUAAAUGAACGGACACACUGGAAUCUAUUACCCACCUUCUCCCUCCUGCCCCCAUCUCCACCCCUUCCUCCACCUUUUGCUGUCAAUCACUCCACAAGCAUCGCCUGUUGGUGAUGAAAAGAGAAGGGGAUACAGAGGCGAACCUCCGUGUCUUCCUGGAGCCCAGGUGCCGUGAGAUCUAUGCUUGGGACAAUCUUAGGACACAUUUCUUUUGGGGGGAGUCUAUGAACCCUCUAGAAUGGCCAUCCUAGAGGGUGACUUUGUUUUAUGUCCAAAUCUGCUUUCUAGUAGCAUUGUGAGAGUGAGGAUCCUGAGUAGCCCUGGUUGUCUAAACAAUUCAAAGGAGGAAAGGAAACAGUCAUAUACCUGCUCUCGUUAUUCCUUACAGCAUCCUAGGAAAGGUCAGCAGUUUCCAGAUUGGAGCAAGAGGCAGGAAAUGUGGAGUUGACCCCCUCAUAGCAAAGAAAAAAGACAAUGACCANAAUGUGGAGUUGACCCCCUCAUAGCAAAGAGAAAAGACAAUGACCAGUGCUGCAGAGCCCUGGGGCAGGCUGACCACCCCCCCCCCAAGUGCUGUGUUCUCACCUGGAUGGUGUGGCCAGGGCACCCCCAUCCCUAAUGAAAGUACAAAAACUUCAUCUCUAUAGCUACCUGGAGAAGGAAAUUCAUCAUUGCCCUCAGCAGACAGCAAGAAAAGAAGAAAAAGAAUAAGAAUGUAGCAAAGAGACUUGAUAUUGAUUUGAAAAGCCUUGCUGACAAGAAAAUGAUUUGAGUCCAUUUCCAUUUUGUGGCCGAAGCCUCUGGUGCUCGCUCUGCUUCUGUCUGACCUCCCAGAGCAGAGUUCAUCAAGAAGCUCCCUGGCUGACACUCUAAUCCGGAUUUUCCAAUAGCCUCUCACCUGUUUGUCUAGAAUGGGGAAGGGCAGGUCUGUAAAGGGUGCAGUGUGGCUUCCUGGGUCUCAUCUGGAAAGCAGUCAAGCAGGCCAGUUUGGGGGAGCAGGCGGGGCAGUCAAGCAGGCCAGUCCUAUUUCAAGGCUGAUUUAGAAGAAUACAUUUUAAAAGUGCUGGCUGGCCUCACACAGACAUGACCAUGACUGUCAAUAUUCCUGUCCCGACAGGGGUUUUCAGCCAAGGCGUAAUGCAAUGCAUCCAGCCUAGCCAACAGCAACUCUUGCCUUGGGCAGAUCCUGCCACGUCUGCUUCCCACAGGUUCUUCCCACCAGGAACCUAGCAUCUGCUGUGCGUGCCUUCUCUUUGCAACGCCAGAAUCCCAAGCAAGGGCAGCAGGCCUGUGUGUUUAAUUCACUUGUAAGUGAACAGCUUCUGUGUGUUAGAAAAAAAAAAAGCAUAACUCAACUUAUGAAUGUGUAAUUGCUUGAGAUUUCACCUCCUGGCCACACUCGCCUUCCUAUGGAGUUAUUAAAACCCACACAAUAUGGUCUAAUCAUUUAUUAAUAGUCAACAUAAACAGAUAACAGCUCACAUAGCCAUAUAGCCAUUGCAUGUUAAAUAAUGAGUGAUUAUUUAAAAGGCUCUUUCACUGGAGAGGAGGAAGCCUGGUGGCUAUGGUUUGGAAUUACUGCUGUAAUGGCAGAUAAACUCAUGGACUCAAGACCUUCUUGAUUGUUCACCUGGCUACCCUCAAGUCACUGUUUCCCUGCCUUCAUUUGGAAGGGGCAGGGUACCACCCAUUGCCCAGCAGAAAAGGACAUCCAAAUUAAUGGGAAGGGAAUAAAUCAUUUCCUCAGGGAACAAAGUAAAAAAUACUGGAGUGUGUUGUUCAACUUCUCUGAAAGAAGCUCAACAAUAAUGCAUCUUCUGACUUGCUUUCAAAGUCUCCAUCGCCAGGAGGUGGGAGGGAGGUUUAAGAGGGAAGGGAUAUAUGUAUGUAUGUGUGUGUGUAUAUAUAUAUAUAUAUAUAUAUAUAU